AAGGUCUUAAGUUAAAAAAACUGAUAGCCUUCAAAGUUAUAAAUAAAAAUCCUUUUUAGGCCUUA
Molecule: transfer RNA, 65 nt
Filed under: Pielomastax zhengi
Lineage: Eukaryota; Metazoa; Arthropoda; Insecta; Orthoptera; Episactidae
Description: tRNA-Trp
Source: RNAcentral